This 471-nucleotide ribosomal RNA is filed under the name uncultured bacterium. RNAcentral's name for it is "partial 16S ribosomal RNA". It matches the Rfam family "Bacterial small subunit ribosomal RNA", at positions 28 to 523 of the family's 1533-position model. The record is from RNAcentral.
GACGAACGCUGGCGGCGUGCUUAACACAUGCAAGUCGAGCGAGAAACCUUCGGGUUUCUAGCGGCGGACGGGUGAGUAACACGUGGGUAACCUGCCUCAAAGAGGGGAAUAGCCUCCCGAAAGGGAGAUUAAUACCGCAUAAUAUUACAGCUUCGCAUGAAGCAGUAAUUAAAGGAGUAAUCCGCUUUGAGAUGGACCCGCGGCGCAUUAGCUAGUUGGAGAGGUAACGGCUCACCAAGGCGACGAUGCGUAGCCGACCUGAGAGGGUGAUCGGCCACAUUGGAACUGAGACACGGUCCAGACUCCUACGGGAGGCAGCAGUGGGGAAUAUUGCACAAUGGCGAAAGCCUGAUGCAGCAACGCCGCGUGAGUGAUGACGGUCUUCGGAUUGUAAAGCUCUGUCUUUUGGGACGAUAAUGACGGUACCAAAGGAGGAAGCCACGGCUAACUUCGUGCCAGCCGCCGCGGUAA